GGAAGCAGGGGAUCGUAAGACCUUGUGCUUUUGGAGUGGCCGAUGCCUGAUUAGCUAGUUGGUAGGGUAAUGGCCUACCAAGGCGACGAUCAGUAGUUGGUCUGAGAGGACGACCAGCCACACUGGGACUGAGACACGGCCCAGACUCCUACGGGAGGCAGCAGUGGGGAAUUUUGGACAAUGGGCGCAAGCCUGAUCCAGCAAUGCCGCGUGAGUGAAGAAGGCCUUCGGGUUGUAAAGCUCCUUCAGUCGAGAAGAAAAGGUUGUGACUAAUAAUUGCAACUCAUGACGGUAUCGACAGAAGAAGCACCGGCUAACUACGUGCCAGCAGCCGCGGUAAUACGUAGGGUGCGAGCGUUAAUCGGAAUUACUGGGCGUAAAGGGUGCGCAGGCGGCUUUGUAAGUCAGAUGUGAAAUCCCCGGGCUUAACCUGGGAAUUGCGUUUGAAACUACAAGGCUAGA
Molecule: ribosomal RNA, 462 nt
Filed under: uncultured beta proteobacterium
Lineage: Bacteria; Pseudomonadati; Pseudomonadota; Betaproteobacteria
Description: bacterial SSU rRNA
Rfam family: Bacterial small subunit ribosomal RNA
Source: RNAcentral